Molecule: ribosomal RNA, 1438 nt
Filed under: Mycobacteroides chelonae
Lineage: Bacteria; Bacillati; Actinomycetota; Actinomycetes; Mycobacteriales; Mycobacteriaceae
Also listed under: 1 other name
Description: bacterial SSU rRNA
Rfam family: Bacterial small subunit ribosomal RNA
Source: RNAcentral
GACGAACGCUGGCGGCGUGCUUAACACAUGCAAGUCGAACGGAAAGGCCCUUCGGGGUACUCGAGUGGCGAACGGGUGAGUAACACGUGGGUGAUCUGCCCUGCACUCUGGGAUAAGCCUGGGAAACUGGGUCUAAUACCGGAUAGGACCACACACUUCAUGGUGAGUGGUGCAAAGCUUUUGCGGUGUGGGAUGAGCCCGCGGCCUAUCAGCUUGUUGGUGGGGUAAUGGCCCACCAAGGCGACGACGGGUAGCCGGCCUGAGAGGGUGACCGGCCACACUGGGACUGAGAUACGGCCCAGACUCCUACGGGAGGCAGCAGUGGGGAAUAUUGCACAAUGGGCGCAAGCCUGAUGCAGCGACGCCGCGUGAGGGAUGACGGCCUUCGGGUUGUAAACCUCUUUCAGUAGGGACGAAGCGAAAGUGACGGUACCUACAGAAGAAGGACCGGCCAACUACGUGCCAGCAGCCGCGGUAAUACGUAGGGUCCGAGCGUUGUCCGGAAUUACUGGGCGUAAAGAGCUCGUAGGUGGUUUGUCACGUUGUUCGUGAAAACCCACAGCUUAACUGUGGGCGUGCGGGCGAUACGGGCAGACUAGAGUACUGCAGGGGAGACUGGAAUUCCUGGUGUAGCGGUGGAAUGCGCAGAUAUCAGGAGGAACACCGGUGGCGAAGGCGGGUCUCUGGGCAGUAACUGACGCUGAGGAGCGAAAGCGUGGGUAGCGAACAGGAUUAGAUACCCUGGUAGUCCACGCCGUAAACGGUGGGUACUAGGUGUGGGUUUCCUUCCUUGGGAUCCGUGCCGUAGCUAACGCAUUAAGUACCCCGCCUGGGGAGUACGGUCGCAAGACUAAAACUCAAAGGAAUUGACGGGGGCCCGCACAAGCGGCGGAGCAUGUGGAUUAAUUCGAUGCAACGCGAAGAACCUUACCUGGGUUUGACAUGCACAGGACGUACCUAGAGAUAGGUAUUCCCUUGUGGCCUGUGUGCAGGUGGUGCAUGGCUGUCGUCAGCUCGUGUCGUGAGAUGUUGGGUUAAGUCCCGCAACGAGCGCAACCCUUGUCCUAUGUUGCCAGCGGGUAAUGCCGGGGACUCGUAGGAGACUGCCGGGGUCAACUCGGAGGAAGGUGGGGAUGACGUCAAGUCAUCAUGCCCCUUAUGUCCAGGGCUUCACACAUGCUACAAUGGCCAGUACAGAGGGCUGCGAAGCCGCAAGGUGGAGCGAAUCCCUUAAAGCUGGUCUCAGUUCGGAUUGGGGUCUGCAACUCGACCCCAUGAAGUCGGAGUCGCUAGUAAUCGCAGAUCAGCAACGCUGCGGUGAAUACGUUCCCGGGCCUUGUACACACCGCCCGUCACGUCAUGAAAGUCGGUAACACCCGAAGCCAGUGGCCUAACCUUUUGGAGGGAGCUGUCGAAGGUGGGAUCGGCGAUUGGGACG